Molecule: transfer RNA, 76 nt
Filed under: Gammaproteobacteria bacterium
Lineage: Bacteria; Pseudomonadati; Pseudomonadota; Gammaproteobacteria
Also listed under: 8 other names
Description: tRNA-Val
Rfam family: tRNA
About the family: Transfer RNA (tRNA) molecules are approximately 80 nucleotides in length. Their secondary structure includes four short double-helical elements and three loops (D, anti-codon, and T loops).
Source: RNAcentral
GGGUGCAUAGCUCAGCUGGUAGAGCAUCUCGUUUACACCGAGACGGUCGGGAGUUCGAAUCUCUCUGCACCCACCA